Long non-coding RNA from Esox lucius (northern pike), 597 nucleotides. NCBI's taxonomy places the organism in Eukaryota, Metazoa, Chordata, Actinopteri, Esociformes, Esocidae. The record is from Ensembl.
GUCUCGUUCUUUUUUUGUUGUUAUUUUUAAGGUGGGUGCAUGCAUUAGGCAAUUCAGGCUAAAUCUGAAAGUGAAACCCUUACAUAUUUCUAAUAAAAAGUCUUAUGUGUUUGUUUUACAUUAAAGUAUAAGAAGCAAUCUUCGAAUGUCCAUACCUGCCCGGUCUUUAAAUGCAAUCUUGUAAACGUUAUCACGAACUUGGUUUAUAGAGCUGCAGUCUCCACCACCAGACUUCCGACGAACCUUAAAGUACUUUUCUGUCUUUUCUUUUUGUACUGGAUCAAAAUUGUCCAGCUCGAAGAACACUGGGUGAUCUUUUAUAGAUAAUGACUGACAUGAAGGAGAGGCAGCUACAAUCCUCUGAGCGACGGUCCAUCACGGUCACAUGGACGUCCUCGCUAGGGGGAGCCCUCGAGUGGAUGUUGAGCAGGACGGACGGCGAUGAGUGAUGUUGAAAGCGGGUGGAGGGUACCAUUAGGACGCGCACUGCAACCUGUUGCUCACUCGAGAAGUCUGCAUUUCCAAUUUUGAAAAGUCCUAAGAUUUGUCACAUAUUAUGUUUAAUUAAAUAUAAAAACGAACAAAAAUAAAACCCCA